CAUGUCCUACGGGAGGCAGCAGUGGGGGAUAUUGCACAAUGGGGGAAACCCUGAUGCAGCGACGCCGCGUGAGUGAAGAAGUAUUUCGGUAUGUAAAGCUCUAUCAGCAGGGAAGAAAAAAGACGGUACCUGACUAAGAAGCCCCGGCUAACUACGUGCCAGCAGCCGCGGUAAUACGUAGGGGGGCAAGCGUUAUCCGGAUUUACUGGGUGUAAAGGGAGCGUAGACGGAAUUGCAAGUCUGAUGUGAAAAUCCGGGGCCCAACCCCGGAACUGCAUUGGAAACUGUAUUUCUAGAGUGUCGGA
RNAcentral lists this ribosomal RNA (305 nucleotides) under uncultured bacterium. Its description in RNAcentral is "bacterial SSU rRNA". It matches the Rfam family "Bacterial small subunit ribosomal RNA", at positions 333 to 653 of the family's 1533-position model. The record is from RNAcentral.